UUUGGUAAAGAUAUAGAUUCUCCACACUGUUAUCAGACCCAAAGAUUUCCAACUCAAUUCUUCGAGACAAAGUAACAUAGUCCAAUUUACUAUGAUAUCUUUUUCUUUUUUAUCAUAACAACAUGGUCGUCCUUCUUUUUUGACACCUUUUUCUCCCCUUCUCACUCAUCACCUUUAUCUUCAACACCCCCCCGCCUCUCUGGGCUUUUAUUCUCAUUGACAUACUUACAUGUCUUUAAAGCACUGGUGCUGCAUGAAUCACACUGAAAUCCUAACCAGAUCGUUCUUCCACUUUCCAGUUACACUCUCUGAUAAUGGCCAAGGAAGCUUCUCUGUGCCUCUUGUUUCUCUUCUUGCUCAUUAUCUCCUGUUCUGGAUCUCUGGUGGGUUUUUCCUACCGUGAGAGGGGAGACACUUCAACAUCUGCUAAAAUCAUAUCGCUCCUCCAGCAGAAGAACGUUUCCAUGUCUCAGAUUCGAAUUUUUGUUACAGAUCAUAGGAUUUUGAGCAGUCUCAGCAAUUCCAUCGUGCCAACUGAUUUGUACUUGAACAGAAGUCAAGUUCAAAGUUUAAUUACUUCAAAACCCUCCAAACUAAAAGCCCGUCUGCUUAACUUUCUCCCACAUUCACACAUCAAAAGCAUCAUUGCUAGCUGUGGCAGUGAGUGCUUAGCACAAAAUGAGAUGUCUUUGUUCUCACGUGCUUUGAAAUCAAUUAGUUCAGUUCUCAGAGAGCUUCAUAUAGGGAGGGAGGUAAAAAUCUCAGUAGCAUUUCCACUUUCAUACUUAGAAAAGUUGAACACAUCGCAUGAAAAUAGUAUUCGCAGAAUUCUUUCAUUCAUAAGGGAAAUGAAAUCCUUUGUCAUGGUAGAAGACAGCAUUGAUGGAGAAUUAAGCAUGGAGAGUCACUUUGAUCAGGCUAUAAUCAAACGAGCCACUCUUGCUGCUUCCAUUCUUCCUUGCAAAGAUGUUCCUAUUGUUUUAACAAUGAAGAGCAUAGUUGCCUCCACUUCAAUGGAGUUAGUUCAAUUCAGUGAGAGGGUAUCCAAAUAUCUAGAAGCAAAAGCUCAUAUUACUAAAAGAAUAGCUGCAUUAUAUGCAGAGGUUCAUAUAACAGAAGAUUUAGCAAGUAAAGAACUCAAAAGGGAAGAGGAAGAACUGUUUCCUGUCUCCCGCAGAGACAUGCUAAGUGAAUCCCACAAAAGGAGAAGUCUAGAUGAUACAACCAGUCCAACAAACGUAGUUUUCCCCACAAAUCCAGCAUCAUCCACUCCAAUAAUCACACCCCCAGAUACACCAACCAUCAUCACAGUUCCUGCCACAAAUCCUGUCACAAUUUCCCCUUCCAAUCCUGCUGGAGUGCCUGUCACAGUUCCUUCUACCACACCUGUGACUUUUCCUCCCACAAAUCCAGCCAAUACACCAGUACCAGUGAGCAAUCCGGCUACAACAACUCCUGUAGGGAUACCACCCCCAACAACCAACCCUGUGACUUCUCCACCUUCAUCAGGAAAUGUUCCUGUCACAAAUCCCCAACCUCAACCACCUCCUGCAAACACUAAUGCUCCCGCCAUUCAGGGGCAGAGUUGGUGUGUGGCAAAGCAAGGAGCUCCUGAAGCUUCUCUUCAAGCAGCACUAGACUAUGCUUGUGGAAUGGGUGGGUCAGAUUGUUCUCAAAUUCAGCAGGGUGGGAAUUGUUACAGUCCAGUUACAUUGCAGAACCAUGCCUCUUUUGCCUUCAACAGCUACUAUCAAAAGAAUCCAGCUCCAACAAGCUGUGACUUUGGAGGGACUGCCACCUUAGUUAACACAAAUCCAAGUUCGGGUUCAUGCGUUUUCCUAUCCUCGUCGUCAUCAACAACAGCAACUCCAAAGUCAUCACCCCCAACACCACCUACACAAUCAAGUCCAACACUACUACCACCACCAAGUCCAGUAACACCUACAUCAAUUCCAACAGCACCACCAACAACAUCAGUAACAGGCCCAUUUGGGUAUGGCACCCCACCUUCAGUGUUAAAUUCAAGCAACCCCGCGUCAGGUACAAUGCCAGAUUUUGGAUAUGAAAGCCCUCCUGUUGUAAAUACAACAUCAGCCUCGCAUUCUAUGAGCUUGAGACCUUCUGCUGGCUGCAUUCUUCUGAUGGUAUCAUUUGUCACUAUGAGACUUGCUAUGCAUCCAUAGAAUGAAAUGCUCAAUAGUAUCUCUAGCUGUUCGUUGGAGUUGUAAUGUAGCAUUCUAUAUUAGGCGCAGAAAGAUGUUAGAGUAAGAACGGAACAAAAUAAGGUUAAGUGAUUAUGAGUGAUGUACUGAAUUUAGCUUAGGUGAGGGAAAUUUUAAUAGGGAAAUAAUUGCUGCUUUAUGGUAUCUAGGUUGUACAACAAACUAUAAGUAAUAUUGGUCAUGUACAUAGUUUUUAAAAGCUUGUAGUUCUUUUCA
This is a non-coding RNA of Vigna umbellata (rice bean), 2438 nucleotides long. Lineage: Eukaryota; Viridiplantae; Streptophyta; Magnoliopsida; Fabales; Fabaceae. The record is from RefSeq and is a predicted model, not a curated record.